Molecule: ribosomal RNA, 54 nt
Filed under: Muehlenbeckia rhyticarya
Lineage: Eukaryota; Viridiplantae; Streptophyta; Magnoliopsida; Caryophyllales; Polygonaceae
Description: partial 26S ribosomal RNA
Source: RNAcentral
GCGACCCCAGAUCAGGCGGGACUACCCGCUGAGUUUAAGCAUAUCAAGCGGAGG